RNAcentral lists this ribosomal RNA (253 nucleotides) under uncultured bacterium. RNAcentral describes it as "partial 16S ribosomal RNA". It matches the Rfam family "Bacterial small subunit ribosomal RNA", at positions 524 to 776 of the family's 1533-position model. The record is from RNAcentral.
UACGAAGGGGGCUAGCGUUGUUCGGAAUUACUGGGCGUAAAGGGCGCGUAGGCGGUGUGUCAAGUCAGGCGUGAAAGCCCCGGGCUCAACCUGGGAACCGCGCUUGAGACUGGCACGCUCGAGUUCGGGAGAGGAUGGUGGAAUUCCCAGUGUAGAGGUGAAAUUCGUAGAUAUGGGGAGGAACACCGGUGGCGAAGGCGGCCACCUGGACGGUAACUGACGCUGAGACGCGAAAGCGUGGGGAGCAAACAGG